This 373-nucleotide ribosomal RNA is filed under the name uncultured organism. RNAcentral's name for it is "partial 16S ribosomal RNA". It matches the Rfam family "Bacterial small subunit ribosomal RNA", at positions 527 to 896 of the family's 1533-position model. The record is from RNAcentral.
GUAGGUGGCGAGCGUUGUCCGGAAUUAUUGGGCGUAAAGCGCGCGCAGGCGGUUCUUUAAGUCUGAUGUGAAAGCCCACGGCUCAACCGUGGAGGGUCAUUGGAAACUGGAGAACUUGAGUACAGAAGAGGACAGCGGAAUUCCACGUGUAGCGGUGAAAUGCGUAGAGAUGUGGAGGAACACCAGUGGCGAAGGCGGCUUUCUGGUCUGUAACUGACGCUGAGGCGCGAAAGCGUGGGGAGCAAACAGGAUUAGAUACCCUGGUAGUCCACGCCGUAAACGAUGAGUGCUAAGUGUUAGGGGGGUUUCCGCCCCCCUUAGUGCUGCAGCUAACGCAUUAAGCACUCCGCCUGGGAGUACGGCCGCAAGGCUG